AACCAGCCUGUUUUUACAGAUAAAUGGCAUAACCUGGACCUGCUAUGUAAUGAUCAGAGCUGUAUCCUCCAAGCGUGUGAAAAAGACCAGCAAUGGAGCAACAGCGGCCAUCGUUCAUCCAUCCCAGCCAAGCUGGAAGAGGAGGCUGUUUAGCUUAAAUCACAAAGCACAGAAAGUUAGCCUCCUUCAGGACCAUGGAGAGCAGCAGCAUGGGGUACGACCUCUUCAAAGGCUGACCUCACCGACUCGUCCCUCGAGGCCGCCGUAGGGUCGGCAGGAGCAACCUGACCUGAGGCCGACGCUAAGCUGUUUUAUGUUGCUUGAGGAAAGGAAGUGCACCAACAGAACAUGGAGACAAACCCAGAAGGUUGUUCUCCUUCAGCUUUCAGAGCGGCACAAAGAGCUCACCUUCUAGCCAUUUGUAGAAGCCUUCCCCUGGGUGGUCAGGAACACAAACCAAAAGUUUAACUGGAGUCAGAGCAAUGAAAAGGAUGUCCUAAGGAGCAGACUGAGCUUCACUCACCAUCAUCAUCCCCUGAUAAGAGAGCAGCGGAGAAAAGAAAGGAGAAACCAUUAAAAUCAAACACAUGGAAAAAAAACUAAAUCAUCUGCAGCAUUUCAGAUUUCUUGGUUUUCAUAUUUUCGACACACUUAAUAUCUGAGCUAAUACUAAUUCCAUGAUGAGACAGAGAGCUGCUGCAAAGCCCAGCCAAUGUUCUGGUAAACCAUGAAAUGACCAAUGAUGGGAGUAGUUCCACUUCUCUACUUUUAUCCUUCUUGGAUCGGCAAUGAUUCUGUCUGACAUCAAGGGGAGUGGCGGCCUGGUGGUUCGGGCAUAGAGUUUGCAAUCCUGAGCCCCACUCCCACAGACAAUGCACAAUGGCAGCCCACUGCUCCCCAAGGCGAUGGGUUAAAUGCAGAGGACAUUCCAUUGUACUAGUGACAGUGGAAUGAACUCUCACAAACUCUUGAUCUUCCAGCUGUUUGUGCAAGGCAAGGCA
This is a long non-coding RNA of Cyprinodon tularosa, 1001 nucleotides long. RefSeq lists it as uncharacterized. Lineage: Eukaryota; Metazoa; Chordata; Actinopteri; Cyprinodontiformes; Cyprinodontidae. The transcript is spliced from 3 exons. The record is from RefSeq and is a predicted model, not a curated record.